GUCAUGGGAAUUUCCAUUCCUGGAAGUGAACAGUCAUGGGGUACGGCUUUCUCGCGCUCAUCCUCUCGCCGAUCACGCGCGAGGUGAUCUGGAGGUCGCGCUGCAGGUGCUACACUCAGGAUGAGCACACGUGUGGAAGUUAGUCACACACAGCUGUCAAAUUACAGCCCAGAGACUGACAGAUCCGCCCUUCCCUUUACAGACGGGAGCUGUACGGUGUGGCGCUAAGCUAAUGAGAAAGCGGUACCUGUGAGAGGCGGGGUGAGGAACACGACCAGAACCACCAGCGAGAUAUUUGUUACAAACGUGAGGACGAAAUCAGCGCGAGGGGAAAUAACAGAGCGGAAACGCGUCUGCGAUAGCCACGGGCUGGGUGUGUGUUCUUAUUUAUCCCUCACUAAUGUACUGGUGUCGAUGGUAUUUAGUGCGAACGCUGAAAAGACUUUACAUGAAUUAAAAAAUAAUAAUAACUUGAUUAUAAAUAAAAGACAGUGAUUCUAACUGAUCUGAAGAUGUGACGUGGUCUUAAAGAAACUGAGCUGCACGGACAGCUACGACAACGCUCGUAAACAGAUCAUCUCCUGUAAAAGGACGAGCAGAGAGACGACCCGUGUCCUCCGUUUCUAAUCACAGCACAGGAUACAGGGCCAACAGCUCAUCUCUCGGAGCGCCGUCCUCCAAAACACACGCAGACCCAUGGAGAAGAUCUACAGUGCCCUUCUAUCCAGAGCUGUUCUUCCAUCCUGUGUCUGUCUUCCUCUCUCUGUCUUUCUCCCUCAGUCUCUCUCACUUUCCCAGCAUCUCUCCCAGUCUCUCUCUCACCAGUGUCUCUCCCCCAGUCUCUCUUACUUUCCCAGUGUCCCUCUCACUUCCCCAGUGUCUCUCCCCCAGUCUCUCUUACUUUCCCAGUGUCUCUCCCCCAGUGUCUCUCUCCCAGUCUCUCUUACUUUCCCAGCAUCUCUCCCAGUCUCUCUCACUUCCCCAGUGUCUCUCCCCCAGUGUCUCUCUCCCAGUCUCUCUUACUUUCCCAGUGUCUCUCUCCCAGUCUCUCUUACUUUCCCAUGUCCUCUCCCAGUCUCUCUUACUUUCCCAGUGUCCUCUCCCAGUCUCUCUCUCACUUCCCCAGUGUCUCUCCCCCAGUGUCUCUCUCCCAGUCUCUUACUUUCCCAGUGUCUCUCUCCCAGUCUCUCUUACUUUCCCAGUGUCUCUCUCCCAGUCUCUCUUACUUUCCCAGUGUCUCUCUCCCAGUCUCUCUCUCACUUCCCCAGUGUCUCUCCCCCAGUCUCUCUUACUUCCCAUGUCUCUCUCCCAGUCUCCCUCUCACUUCCCCAGUGUCUCUCUCUCACAGUCUCUCUUACUUUCAGUGUCUCUCUCCCAUUCUCUCUCUUUACUUUCCCAGUGUCUCUCUCCCAGUCUCUUACUUUCCCAGUGUCUCUCUCUCUCUCUCAGUCUCUCUCUUACUUUCAGUGUCUCUCUCAUUCUCACUUACUUUCCCAGUGUCUCUCUCCCAGUCUCUCUCUCACUUCCCCAGUGUCUCUCUCACAGUCUCUCUCUUACUUUCAGUGUCUCUCUCCCAGUCUCUCUUACUUUUCCCAGUGUCUCUCUCCCAGUGUCUCUCUCCCAGUCUUUCUCUUACUUUCCCAGUGUCUCUCUCUCCCAAUAAUUCUCUCUCCUAGUCUCUUACUUUCCAGUGUCUCCCUCUCACUUCCCCAGUGUCUCUCUCUCUCCCAGUCUCUCUUACUUUCAGUGUCUCUCUCCCCAUUCUCUCUCUUACUUUCCCAGUGUCUCUCUCCCAGUGUCUUACUUUCCCAGUCUCUCGCUCACUUCCCCAGUGUGUCUCUCUUACUUUCCCAAUGUCUCUCUCUCACUUCCCCAGUGUCUCUCUCUCCCUGUCUGUCUCUCACUCCAGUCUCUCACUUUCCCAGCAUCUCUCCCUCCCAGUAUCUCUCUCCCCGUUUCUCUCUCUC
Ictalurus punctatus (channel catfish) is the source of this 1967-nucleotide long non-coding RNA. Lineage: Eukaryota; Metazoa; Chordata; Actinopteri; Siluriformes; Ictaluridae. The record is from Ensembl.